RNAcentral lists this ribosomal RNA (494 nucleotides) under uncultured bacterium. RNAcentral's name for it is "partial 16S ribosomal RNA". It matches the Rfam family "Bacterial small subunit ribosomal RNA", at positions 28 to 507 of the family's 1533-position model. The record is from RNAcentral.
GACGAACGCUGGCGGCGUGCUUAACACAUGCAAGUCGAACGGUGAAGCGCCUUCCUUUUUGGUGGGUGUGGAUGAGUGGCGAACGGGUGAGUAACACGUGAGUAACCUGCCCCCUUCUUCUGGAUAACCGCAUGAAAGUGUGGCUAAUACGGGAUAUUCUGGGUCUGUCGCAUGAUGGGUCUGGGAAAGAUAUUGUUUCGGUGGGGGAUGGGCUCGCGGCCUAUCAGCUUGUUGGUGGGGUGAUGGCCUACCAAGGCGGUGACGGGUAGCCGGCCUGAGAGGGUGGACGGUCACACUGGGAAUGAGACACGGCGCAGACUCAUACGGGAGGCAGCAGUGGGGAAUAUUGCACAAUGGGCGCAAGCCUGAUGCAGCGAAGCCGCGUGAGGGAUGGAGGCCUUCGGGUUGUGAACCUCUUUCGCCAGUGAAGCAGGCCUGCCUCGUUUGUGGGUGGGUUGACGGUAGCUGGAUAAGAAGCGCCGGCUAACUACGUG